Molecule: ribosomal RNA, 253 nt
Filed under: uncultured bacterium
Lineage: Bacteria
Description: partial 16S ribosomal RNA
Rfam family: Bacterial small subunit ribosomal RNA
Source: RNAcentral
UACGUAGGCAGCGAGCGUUGUUCGGAGUUACUGGGCGUAAAGAGUGCGUAGGCGGUGCUCCAAGUCUGGUGUGAAAUCUCCCGGCUUAACCGGGAGGGUGCGCCGGAAACUGGGGUGCUGGAGUGUGGGAGAGGUAAGCGGAAUUCCCGGUGUAGCGGUGAAAUGCGCAGAUAUCAGGAAGAACACCUAUGGCGAAGGCAGCUCUCUGGGACGGUACUGACGCUGAGACGCGAAAGCGUGGGGAGCGAACAGG